ACAAAAUAAUCUCUCAAUUGAUAAUAAUGAAUAUUGUGUUUACAAGGAAAUAAUGAGUCAUUUAUACAGGAAACUUGAUAAAACCCUAGUCUACACAAAAAAUAAUUUCUAAAGAUUACAAAAAUUACCAAAAAUUAGAGUUUUAACUAAAAUAAAAGAUCUUAUGAAAUUUGGAAAAUUUUGCUUCAAUUUUAUACUAUGCAGUUGCAUAGUACUAUGGCUUAUGGUCGCAUAGAGCAAACAUUCAACCUCCAAUUUGGUUUGGUAAUGAGGUAUGUGACCACAUCCCUUCCUAAGCUCUGUGAUCACAUAGCUUUAAUGAUUUCUCUUUUUUCAUGUGCAGAAUUUCACAACGUUUCUAGAUUGUACUCAUGAGCAAAAAUCCAACACCCUAGCCGAAAGUUAUGUACGUUUUCAUUGACGUUGCUCAUUUUUUUCAUAUAUCUUUCAAAACUUGAAUCCAACACACCAAACUUGAUCUCCCCUUCAUAUCCAACUUAUAAGUUGUUAUUUGACUUGUUGCACUCGAGCUCUUAGCCUCUGCAUCUUAGACAAUUCAUUCCAUGGCUAACUUGAUCCUCCGUAGCUCUUGAUCUUGUCUUUGAUUCAUCUUCAAGUUGUGCUAGAUCUUUGUAAGUGUGUUGUCUUCCUUGGAUCACAUCAACCUGCGCAUAAGCUGAUAGCACAUGGUGCAAUUUUCCCCAUUAUUACUCUUUAUGCUCAAACUUUUUCUUCCACCAGCCAUUUCUUGAAAAGUUGUAAAAUUAAAUAUUUAAAAAACUUCCCAAAUUCCAGUGGUCAACGCGACCAACUACCUCCACAACUUCUAAAAACUACAUCUACUUUGUAUGGUUUGAUGAGAACGUUUAGAUAGUUUUAAAUUUGUGUAAAAAGGAAGAGAGAAGGGGUGUCUAAAUUAAUUGACUAAAAUCAACUUUGUUCUUUGUAUUUUAGGGGAAACACUACACAAGCCGUUGUGGAGUUUUGGGCUUCCACCUGGACUAAUUAAGGUAGGGGUGGGGUGAGAACCCGGACCCUAUUUUAUUCAUUAAAAAUAGAUAUAUCCGGGUGAAUGAUGUGAAAACGUUAUCUCUAGAAGUACAUCAAGAGGGUGAAAAAAAAAUGAAAUCAUAAAGGAAGUACACUUCCUUACAUAAAUAAGAUUGGCAAUGAAGUUUUACUAUUAGUUUAGCCUUUAAAUUCUCUUUGAACCUCCUUGUGAUAAAGCACAAAAUUAGCAAAGUAUUAUUGGAGAAUUUCAUUCACCAUUUAUUGUAAAUUUUGAAAGGAAACUGAGAAGAGGCAUUUAGGGAUAUUAGGUUCCCAUUGGCAGGAAACAUAUUACCUUAAGCCAUAGCAUUUACAGGUGUUGAAAUAAUCGUCAGUUCAGACACUGUUGCUGAGGCUGUUGCUUUUGUGAUAGGAGUCUGGGAAUCUUCCAUUUCUGUGAUAAAAGAGAGAACACAACUAGGGUAAGCAAGAUGAUCAAACUCUAUUCACGAUAGAGAGAGCUCUGACACCAUGAAGAAAUUCAAUGAAUAUUCUGGUGUGUAUUGACAAAAAUUAUUACAAGUAUAUAUAUACAGGCAGGGAGAUCAAUCCCACUAAUCCAGCAAAGUCAAUCCUACUAAUCUAGCAUAUACAAUGGGGAAUAAAAUCAACUAAAUAAAGAGAAUAAAAUCAACUAAAAAUCAGCUAAAUUUACAAUAAAUGGUGAAUGAAAUUCUCAAGUAAUACUUUGCUAAUUUUGUGCUUUAUCACCUUGAACAUAGGAUGGUUCGAGCAUUAUAGACAACUUAGGGUUUUAUCCUAUGCCAAGUCCUCUGGGGUAAAUACGAUGUCACUUAACAACUUAUAAAGAAACAGGGUGAGAUCAAUUGAUGUACCAUUUUUUUUUUUUUAAAUAUUGGAUCAAUUAGAAUAAUAAGGCUUAAAUAUAAACGUUUUUAACUACAAGAAAAUGUUUGAUGGUAUAAUUACUACAAGCCGAUACGAGUGAACAACCAAUGAAGAUUAUCAUCAAAUUUUAUAGAACAAAAAAAUAUCACCCCAAAUUCGUAUUUAAUCCUGAAACACAAAGGAAAGAAGACCCAUAUAAAAACGAAUCAAUGCCAUGACAAAAUUAACUUUCUUCAUGUUCACUACAUACAAAGUUCAAUCCAAGAGCCCGAAAA
This 2174-nucleotide long non-coding RNA is filed under the name Olea europaea subsp. europaea. The record is from RNAcentral. Lineage: Eukaryota; Viridiplantae; Streptophyta; Magnoliopsida; Lamiales; Oleaceae.